Molecule: microRNA precursor, 91 nt
Filed under: Canis lupus familiaris (dog)
Lineage: Eukaryota; Metazoa; Chordata; Mammalia; Carnivora; Canidae
Also listed under: 1 other name
Description: mir-8799 microRNA precursor family
Rfam family: mir-8799 microRNA precursor family
Source: Rfam by way of RNAcentral
AGGGGGAGCGUUGGUCCUGGGCAGUGUCCCCGGCGCCCUGUGCUCCCGGGCCUGCGUUGCUGGAAUCGCGCUCCUGGCUGUGCAGCCUUCU